This 275-nucleotide ribosomal RNA is filed under the name uncultured soil bacterium. RNAcentral describes it as "partial 16S ribosomal RNA". It matches the Rfam family "Bacterial small subunit ribosomal RNA", at positions 26 to 285 of the family's 1533-position model. The record is from RNAcentral.
AGAAUCAACGCUGGCGGCGUGCCUCAGACAUGCAAGUCGAACGCGAAAGCCCCCUUCGGGGGCAAGUAGAGUGGCGCACGGGUGAGUAACACGUAGGUAAUCUACCUUCGGGUGGGGAAUAACAACCGGAAACGGUUGCUAAUACCGCAUAAUGCAGCGGCACCUAAUGGUGACAGUUGUUAAAGCGGGGGAUCGCAAGAUCUCGCGCCUGAAGAGGAGCCUGCGGCGGAUUAGCUAGUUGGUAGGGUAACGGCCUACCAAGGCGACGAUCCGUA